RNAcentral lists this transfer RNA (43 nucleotides) under Espadarana prosoblepon (emerald glass frog). Its description in RNAcentral is "partial tRNA-Leu". Lineage: Eukaryota; Metazoa; Chordata; Amphibia; Anura; Centrolenidae. The record is from RNAcentral.
ACCUAAACUCUUUCUACAGAGGUUCAAAUCCUCUCAUUAACUU